GCCUACCUGAGCUUCGGUGGUCCGGGGUGCAGGCUUCAAACCUGUAGCUGUCUAGCGACAGAGUGGUUCAAUUCCACCUGGUGGGCG
Symsagittifera roscoffensis is the source of this 87-nucleotide non-coding RNA. The record is from the annotation of a RefSeq genome assembly. NCBI's taxonomy places the organism in Eukaryota, Metazoa, Xenacoelomorpha, Acoela, Convolutidae.